CAAACCCUGGAAAUUCUGAUGAGU
Molecule: non-coding RNA, 24 nt
Filed under: Bos taurus (domestic cattle)
Lineage: Eukaryota; Metazoa; Chordata; Mammalia; Artiodactyla; Bovidae
Also listed under: 1 other name
Source: RNAcentral